Molecule: long non-coding RNA, 411 nt
Filed under: Trifolium pratense (red clover)
Lineage: Eukaryota; Viridiplantae; Streptophyta; Magnoliopsida; Fabales; Fabaceae
Description: long non-coding RNA (TPRA_LNC003112)
Source: RNAcentral
GGUGACAUAUUGGGAGCAACUGAGUUAAGAGGUCCAGUUACUUACCGGUAUAAUGAUUUGAAGUCUGCAACGAAAAAUUUUAGUGAUGAAAAUAAAUUAGGAGAAGGAGGUUUUGGAGAUGUAUACAAGGUACUAUACUUAGUUAAUUUUGAACAUUUUUUUGGUAUAAUACAUAUUUACAUAUAAGCAUGAUUUUGUCUGAAUUGAUGAUAACUGCAGAAAAAAUUUGUUAUAGGUAUUAUCUCUUUUACAUAAAUAUUGCUUUUAAGAUUAAGAAAAUAAUUAUUAAUCGUCAUUUGUAUUGAUGAUUCGACAAUUAUGGUACGGGGCACUUUAAAAAAUGGUAACGUAGUAGCUGUCAAGAAAUUGAUUUUAGGCCAUUCCAGCAAGAUGGAUGAACAAUUUGAAAGU